Molecule: long non-coding RNA, 1298 nt
Filed under: Phascolarctos cinereus (koala)
Lineage: Eukaryota; Metazoa; Chordata; Mammalia; Diprotodontia; Phascolarctidae
Description: lncRNA (ENSPCIG00000034378.1)
Source: RNAcentral
UGUUUUAAUAAGAGUUGUUGAUCAUUCUGUUCGACAGUGUUCUGCUGGAAACAAUUUAUACUGCUGACUGUUCCUUUUACCAGGAUGUUUUCCCAUCCACUGACAGUGAAUUCUGGGAAAGAUCUUUUAUAAAUGUACAAGAGAAGGCAUGAGUCCUGUAUAGCUAAGGGAGACUGGCAGACUUAUUUAGAUGACUCAUCAAUUUUAUAAGCAAUAGCUCAGAAUCACAGACCUGGGAACUGAAAAAGACCAUGGAGUUUAUUUCUUUGUAAUUUAAACUGACAUAAUAAUGUAAUGAAAUUAUUUAUACACAUUGACUGGAGGCAUUUCAGAGUAUAGAAGCAUGUUGAUAGAGAGCACCAGCUUAAUUUGCUUCCAGAAAAUAAUCAGCAAGGGCUUAAAUCCGUGAGAAAUUUAACACCUGAUACAAUCAACUCAAAAAUGCAUUUUUAGUUUAUGUCAUCAUGCUUGGAAUUGAUGCUGGAGGAAAAGAAGAAAAAAAACACCAAAGAAAACAAAUGUCUUACAUCGUUGACAUCACGUUAGGAAUUCUGUGGUAAAUAUUAUACUUAACGCUUCAUUAGUGACCCCUGUUAUUACUCUCAUUUUUUGCUAAUUCAUCCUAAAAGAAGUAUAUUAGAAGAGAUGUUCUAAUGAACAGACUAAUUAAUGCAAAUGUACAAAAUCCAACUACCUAUCUACUUCUGUGACAUUUUUAUUUAAACUACAACCGCCUAAUUGUCUUCCAUGAUAGAAGGGGACAAUAGGACAAUUCUAAUUUUACUGUCUGACUUGGAAGGAGUGACCGCAUACAGGCUAAACCAUUUUACUACCAUGAUACCUAUCAUUUUGAGUGAUUGUGAAGAAACCAUAGCAAAAUGGAUAGAGAACUAGCCCAGGAGCCAAGAAUUACAGAAGACUUGCCAGUCUGAUUAGUAGAAGGAAUUUUCACAAUGGAAAACCCAACACCAAAGAAAUACCAGGUUCUGACCAAAAAUAUGUAUUUGUGAUCAGGUUAUGAGAAUGGAGGAUUGAGAAGAGUUUAUCCAUUAAAGUCUUUCUCCGGUAGGCUCUACCAAGCUGAAAAGACCUUGAGUAUGGACCUGAUAAUGAACUAUGUCCUUGUGCUCUGAGAAGUGACCUGAUGAAAUGUGGAGAGAGUGAUUCCUAGAAGACUGGCCAAAGGGCAAUCAUUAUUGCAAUCACUUUUUGUCAUAGCAGAUGGAAGACAAACACCAAUGGAAACACAGAUCCCUGAACUCCUGGAGUGUGUCACAGGAAAAUAAGGAUAAGAAAUG